AGGAUUAACGCUGGCGGCGUGCCUGACACAUGCAAGUCGAACGAGGCCGCAAGGCCGAGUGGCGGACGGGUGAGUAACACGUGACCAACCAACCUCGAAGUUGGGAAUAGCUCUGCGAAAGUAGGGGUAAUACCGAAUGUGGCCCAGGGCGGGCAUCCGCCUUGGUCUAAAGAUUCAUCGCUUCGAGACGGGGUCGCGGCCUAUUAGCUUGUUGGUGAGGUAACGGCUCACCAAGGCGAUGAUGGGUAGCUGGUCUGAGAGGACGACCAGCCACACUGGGACUGAGACACGGCCCAGACUCCUACGGAGGCAGCAGUGAGGAAUCUUCCGCAAUGGGCGAAAAGCCUGACGGAGCAACGCCGCGUGUGGGAUGAAGACUCUAGGGUUGUAAACCACUGUCGGAGGGGACGAUCGUGACGGUACCCUCCGAAGAAAGCCCCGGCUAACUACGCGCCAGCAGCCGC
RNAcentral lists this ribosomal RNA (464 nucleotides) under uncultured bacterium. Its description in RNAcentral is "SSU rRNA". It matches the Rfam family "Bacterial small subunit ribosomal RNA", at positions 26 to 518 of the family's 1533-position model. The record is from RNAcentral.